RNAcentral lists this ribosomal RNA (868 nucleotides) under Bacillus cereus. Its description in RNAcentral is "bacterial SSU rRNA". It matches the Rfam family "Bacterial small subunit ribosomal RNA". The record is from RNAcentral. Lineage: Bacteria; Bacillati; Bacillota; Bacilli; Caryophanales; Bacillaceae.
UGCAGUCGAGCGAUGGAUGAAGAGCUUGCUCUUAUGAAGUGAGCGGCGGACGGGUGAGUAACACGUGGGUAACCUGCCAUAAGACUGGGAUAACUCCGGGAAACCGGGGCUAAUACCGGAUAAUCAUUUUGAACCGCAUGGUUCGAAAUUGAAAGGCGGCUUCGGCUGUCACUUAUGGAUGGACCCGCGUCGCAUUAGCUAGUUGGUGAGGUAACGGCUCACCAAGGCAACGAUGCGUAGCCGACCUGAGAGGGUGAUCGGCCACACUGGGACUGAGACACGGCCCAGACUCCUACGGGAGGCAGCAGUAGGGAAUCUUCCGCAAUGGACGAAAGUCUGACGGAGCAACGCCGCGUGAGUGAUGAAGGCUUUCGGGUCGUAAAACUCUGUUGUUAGGGAAGAACAAGUGCUAGUUGAAUAAGCUGGCACCUUGACGGUACCUAACCAGAAAGCCACGGCUAACUACGUGCCAGCAGCCGCGGUAAUACGUAGGUGGCAAGCGUUAUCCGGAAUUAUUGGGCGUAAAGCGCGCGCAGGUGGUUUCUUAAGUCUGAUGUGAAAGCCCACGGCUCAACCGUGGAGGGUCAUUGGAAACUGGGAGACUUGAGUGCAGAAGAGGAGAGUGGAAUCCAUGUGUAGCGGUGAAAUGCGUAGAGAUAUGGAGGAACACAGUGGCGAGGCGACUUCUGNCUGUACUGACCUGAGCGCGAAGCGUGGGAGCCACAGAUAAAUACCUGUGUCACGCGUAACAUAUCUAGUUAGAGGUUCGCCUAUCGAGUACCUAGCCCGCUGAUCGCGAGCUACUAGAUACGGCGCACGGACUGUAUACACAACUCGUGCUCGCACUAUGUUUGCAUCGUUUUUCGUG